UACGUACUGUGCGAACGUUAUUCGGAAUCACUGGGCUUAAAGGGUGCGUAGGCGGUUUUUCAAGUCAGGUGUGAAAUCUUCAGGCUCAACCUGGAAAUGGCGCUUGAAACUGAGAGACUUGAGGCAGCUAGGGGUGUGUGGAACUUCCAGUGGAGCGGUGAAAUGUGUUGAUAUUGGAAGGAACGCCGGUGGCGAAAGCGACACACUGGGGCUGAACUGACGCUGAGGCACGAAAGCCAGGGGAGCGAACGGG
Molecule: ribosomal RNA, 253 nt
Filed under: uncultured bacterium
Lineage: Bacteria
Also listed under: 1 other name
Description: partial 16S ribosomal RNA
Rfam family: Bacterial small subunit ribosomal RNA
Source: RNAcentral